GACGAUGUUAUAGUUAUUGAAGAAAUC
This 27-nucleotide small RNA is filed under the name Bombyx mori (domestic silkworm). RNAcentral describes it as "ovarian small RNA-15560". Lineage: Eukaryota; Metazoa; Arthropoda; Insecta; Lepidoptera; Bombycidae. The record is from RNAcentral.